RNAcentral lists this ribosomal RNA (496 nucleotides) under uncultured bacterium. RNAcentral describes it as "partial 16S ribosomal RNA". It matches the Rfam family "Bacterial small subunit ribosomal RNA", at positions 29 to 507 of the family's 1533-position model. The record is from RNAcentral.
AUGAACGCUGACGGCGUGCCUAAUACAUGCAAGUCGAGCGAACGGACGAGAAGCUUGCUUUUCUGAUGUUAGCGGCGGACGGGUGAGUAACACGUGGAUAACCUACCUAUAAGACUGGGAUAACUUCGGGAAACCGGAGCUAAUACCGGAUAAUAUUUUGAACCGCAUGGUUCAAAAGUGAAAGACGGUCUUGCUGUCACUUAUAGAUGGAUCCGCGCUGCAUUAGCUAGUUGGUAAGGUAACGGCUUACCAAGGCAACGAUGCAUAGCCGACCUGAGAGGGUGAUCGGCCACACUGGAACUGAGACACGGUCCAGACUCCUACGGGAGGCAGCAGUAGGGAAUCUUCCGCAAUGGGCGAAAGCCUGACGGAGCAACGCCGCGUGAGUGAUGAAGGUCUUCGGAUCGUAAAACUCUGUUAUUAGGGAAGAACAUAUGCGUAAGUAACUGUGCACAUCUUGACGGUACCUAAUCAGAAAGCCACGGCUAACUACGUG